AAGGCGGGGAGGGGGAGGGGGAGGGGGAGAGAGAAACUCAGAGCGGUUCCUGAGCCAAACCUGUCUAGUCUGGGCCCAUCUCUGGAUUAGGGGAGUUAAUGUGGCACCUCCAUCAUGAGGGAGGAGCCAUGCAGUGAUGUCUGUUGGGUGCUACUGCUGAGCUAACCCUUCCCAGACCCAGGUCAUUACUAAGUGUAGGCACUGGAAUGAGAGUGUUUAAAGGGGGGCCUCCUCCAAGUCUUACUAAGUCUAUGGUACUACUGAGGUCGAAAGAAACACCCUCUGGUUUACAGUGGCACCAUUUCCUGGUGUGCGGCCAGGAGAUGGCAGUUUACAAAACUGUCCCAUGAAGUGCUUCUCGGGUCCACCAGCCCCUCAGACUGUCAGGCUUGGGGCUGGGCUGGCUCAAGGGCAGCUACGGGGAGGAUACCUGGAAGCGCCAGUGAGGAAGGGGUGGGGCUGUGGAAGCCAGCUCCAAGCACAGAUCAGGGACAGUGCUUGGGAAGUCAGGAGUCCAUUGUGGGCCAGAACCUGGGCUCCUUCCUACCCUGUGUGCUAAGACCCCUCAGCUCUUCCCCAAUACCCUAAGCUGGUUCACAGUGGCUCACCGGACCAGUGUGUGCUUCUGUCAAGAGUGAGUGAGCCCUUUCCCAGUGACCAAAGGAAAUGGCUCUGCUCCUCCAGAGGCUCCAACUGCCAUAGAACCUUCGGAGUGUCCACAAGAUACCUGGAACUUCUAGAACGUUCUCCCAGCUACUUAGGUAGAGGGUCAGGUGACUGGUGCUGCCCACUGUUCAGCGACGGGGAAGUCUGGGCUCUGAGGCUGCAGACAGCAGAAGAGAGGUGUAUUUCAUCUCACCAAUGUGGAGGCUGGACUCUCAGCCUGACAUCUGAAUCCGCCCGGGACCUUCUUACUGCUCCGUAACACUGUGAUACUGGGGACCCAUUCCAACACAUGAAAUUGAGACCAAUCCCAACACAUUAAAUUUUAUUUAAUUAAAA
Rattus norvegicus (Norway rat) is the source of this 1002-nucleotide non-coding RNA. The record is from RefSeq and is a predicted model, not a curated record. Lineage: Eukaryota; Metazoa; Chordata; Mammalia; Rodentia; Muridae.